CAAUAGCGUAUAUUAAAGUUGUUGCAGUUAAAAAGCUCGUAGUUGGACUUCUGGUAGGAGUGACCGUUCCGAACUUGAUUGUUCGUGUAUUGUGUUUUCUCCAGCCAUCCUUGUGGAGAACUUUUCUUGCAUUAAUUUGUAGGGAUUGGGACCCGCAUCGUUUACUGUGAAAAAAUUAGAGUGUUUAAAGCAGGCAAUCGCUUGAAUACAUUAGCAUGGAAUAAUAAGAUAGGACUUUGGUACUAUUUUGUUGGUUUGCAUACCAAAUUAAUGAUCAACAGGAACAGUUUGAGGAUAUUCGUAUGAACAUGUCAGAGGUGAAAUUCUUGGAUUUUGAUCAGACGAACUACUGCGAAAGCAUUUAUCAAGGAUGUUUUCAUUAA
RNAcentral lists this ribosomal RNA (383 nucleotides) under uncultured eukaryote. Its description in RNAcentral is "partial 18S ribosomal RNA". It matches the Rfam family "Eukaryotic small subunit ribosomal RNA", at positions 592 to 976 of the family's 1831-position model. The record is from RNAcentral.